CCACCAUCCAGCUUCAUAUCCCUGGGAAACAGAAACCAGAGCAGAAACAGCUCUUAAUACACAUGCCUUGUUCACCUUCCACCACCCAAUGCUGAAAUAAGGUUGCACCUCAUACCCCACCUAUGCAGCAGAGCAAGGCUCCCCAUCAUCGGGUGCCUCUGACAGAACCUGGCACUGGGAAGGAACUGGAAGUCAUGUACAAUUCAGGUAAGAUCCAACAAUCAUCUAGCUUGAACGUUUGACUGCCACGUAUCCAGCAGACAGAUGCUCCCAGAGUACAUACCCACGUUGGACAGAGGUAACUGCCCGUGAAAGCCUUCAGGAGGGAUUCCUGCUCCUCCGAGCCCAGGAGAGUGUCCAAAGCCCAGUGACACUCCUGCUGGAGGCCUGCAGGAGAAGUCCAGCUCUCCAUCGCCUCGCGAUGGAAACUUGGGAAUCUACUUUAGAAGGACCGACCCAUUCAGCAUCUACCACUUGGAGGUAAAUGAGAUGCCUGAGACAACCAGGCUGUAACCCAUGCUUUAGCCUCACCAUCAAAAUGUGAGUGAAAGUAAAAAAGACUAUGAGCAAAUGUAUGCUCUGCAAAUGACAGCUGUAUACAACUCCAAACUACUUAUCUCACAAUAUUUUCCUGGCUGACUUCCGCUGAGGUCCAAGUAUGUGCUUAAAAAUCUGUCUGGGAGAGAUGCUGACACUGAGGCAGGGAGAAACCCUGCAGGCUCUUCACCCGAUUGCAGGACUGGGCUGUCUCCUACUGUGUCUCUGCAGACCCUGUUUCCUUGUCUUCCCUUUCCAACCUGUCACUCAUUUUAUUUCUCUGAAACACGGCAAACAGUGAGUUUCCAAUAAAUCAUGUACCUUACUGCUGGAAAAA
Long non-coding RNA from Aquila chrysaetos chrysaetos, 874 nucleotides. RefSeq lists it as uncharacterized. The transcript has 2 exons. Lineage: Eukaryota; Metazoa; Chordata; Aves; Accipitriformes; Accipitridae. The record is from RefSeq and is a predicted model, not a curated record.